UGUUCGGGUGCCCAAGUCCUCCUGAUCGGGGCCUCUCCCAGAGUGGGUGUCAGGCCUUUACUGGCACUCGACGCUGUAGUUCUGAACGUCCUUGGAGUCGGGUUGUUAGAAUGCAGCCCAAAGUGGGUGGUAAACUCCAUCUAAGGCUAAAUACCGACACGAGUCCGAUAGCGGACAAGUACCGUGAGGGAAGUUGAAAGAACUUUGAAGAGAGAGUUCAAGAGUACGUGAAACUGCUUAGAGGUGAACGGGUGGAUCCGUAAAGUCGACCCGGGGAAUUCACUUGCCGUUUUCAGACGGCGGACGUUGGGAUAGGGAUCUGUAAAGACCCGCCCGGCGUUCGGCUGUCUUCGGCGAGUGCACUUUCCUCGGGUAGAGUGCCACGACCGGUUUGGGGCGGUCACAAGCCAGUCGGGAAGGUGACUUCCUCUUCGGAGGAAGUGUUAUAGCCCGGCCAGGUCGACUGUUCCGAGACCGAGGAUUUGCCGCGUCUCACCUGCCCUCGGCGCUCUGCCUGCGUUCGACUGGGGAAGCACUGCUUGCAGUUCUCUCCGACCGCGUGGGUGGAUCGGCUGGGAAGCACGAGGCGCUGCGGGUCAGUGGCGAAUCGGUCGGUCCUCCACCCGACCCGUCUUGAAACACGGACCAAGGAGUCUAACAUGUGCGCGAGUCAUGGGGUUCUGUACGAAACCUAAAGGCGCAAUGAAAGUGAAGGUCAACCUCCGGUCGGCCUAGGUAGGAUCCCCGUCGAGGGGCGCACUACCGGCCCGUCUCGACCACAUUGUUGGUGGGGCGGAGCAAGAGCGUACACGUUGGGACCCGAAAGA
RNAcentral lists this ribosomal RNA (827 nucleotides) under Bathymodiolus thermophilus. Its description in RNAcentral is "eukaryotic LSU rRNA". It matches the Rfam family "Eukaryotic large subunit ribosomal RNA", at positions 170 to 823 of the family's 3401-position model. The record is from RNAcentral. Lineage: Eukaryota; Metazoa; Mollusca; Bivalvia; Mytilida; Modiolidae.